GUGGGCGGAGCCACAAUCUCCGGCGGAGGCUGGGUGUCGCCUGACCGGAUGAUGACAGAAGUUUUCGGUUUAAUGUGGCUACUUUUAUCAUGCAAUCAUCCAGCUAAUGUCGUCUCCAGUGCUCUGACCGCAGUCGGGACUCAUGACUCCAAUCUGCUGUGUGUUUUAAUGAAAUAAACUCACAGACACUGUGACACACUGCGGUGCCAUCUGGGAACUUUUGCUGUGCUGGAAGAGCGACCCUUUGGCUCUUAUUUGACCGGGGAGCAGAGCCGGAUAGAGCCCGCUGGGCUGACCGAGGUGCCGCUAUGGGAAACCGGGGGAUGGAAGACCUUAUUCCCCUCAUAAACAAGCUCCAGGACGCCUUCAGCUCCAUCGGACAGACGUGCAACUUGGACCUGCCGCAGAUAGCGGUUGUCGGCGGCCAGAGCGCAGGGAAGAGCUCCGUGUUGGAGAAUUUCGUCGGGAGGGACUUCUUGCCCAGAGGAUCUGGCAUCGUCACCCGUCGUCCUCUCAUCCUCCAGCUGGUUAACAGUAAAGCAGAGUAUGCCGAGUUCCUGCACUGUAAGGGACGCAAGUUUGUGGACUUUGAUGAGGUGCGUCUGGAGAUUGAAGCAGAAACUGACCGGAUCACGGGAUCCAACAAGGGCAUCUCUGCCAUCCCCAUCAACCUCCGCGUCUACUCCCCUAACGUGCUGAACCUGACCCUGAUCGACCUGCCGGGGAUGACUAAAGUGGCCGUGGGAGACCAGCCUCCAGACAUCGAGCACCAGAUCAGGGACAUGCUGCUGCAGUUCAUCACCAAGGAAAGCUGUCUGAUCCUGGCCGUCACCCCAGCCAACACUGACCUGGCUAACUCCGAUGCCCUCAAGAUUGCUAAGGAGGUGGACCCUCAGGGCCUACGGACCAUUGGUGUGAUCACCAAACUGGACCUGAUGGAUGAGGGGACGGAUGCCCGAGACAUUCUGGAAAAUAAACUACUGCCGCUUCGCCGAGGCUACAUCGGGGUGGUGAACCGCAGUCAAAAGGACAUCGAUGGAAAGAAAGACAUCCGUGCUGCUUUGGCUGCUGAGAGGAAGUUCUUCCUGUCCCACCCGGCGUACAGACACAUUGCAGAACGCAUGGGCACACCACAUCUGCAGAAGACCCUCAAUCAGCAACUUACCAACCACAUCCGCGACACGUUGCCCGGGUUACGCAGUAAGCUGCAAAGCCAGCUGUUAUCACUGGAGAAAGAGGUGGACGAGUACAAGAACUUCCGCCCUGAUGACCCUACACGCAAGACAAAGGCCUUGCUCCAGAUGGUGCAGCAGUUUGGCGUUGACUUUGAGAAGUGCAUCGAGGGGUCUGGGGAUCAGGUGGACACCUCCAACUUGUCAGGUGGAGCAAAGAUCAAUCGCAUCUUCCACGAGCGGUUUCCAUUUGAGCUGGUGAAGAUGGAGUUUGAUGAGAAGGAGCUGAGGAAAGAGAUCAGUUACGCCAUCAAGAACAUCCACGGAGUCAGGACAGGCCUGUUCACCCCAGACCUGGCGUUUGAGGCCAUAGUGAAAAAGCAGAUCAUUAAGCUGAAAGAGCCCUGUCUGAAAUGCAUCGACCUGGUCAUCCAGGAGCUCAUCAACACAGUCAGACAGUGCACUAAUAAGCUGGGUUCGUACCCUCGGCUGAGAGAAGAGACGGAGCGAAUUGUCACCACCUACGUCAGGGAGAGAGACAGCAAGACGAAAGACCAGGUGCUGCUGUUGAUUGACAUUGAGCUCUCCUACAUCAACACUAACCAUGAGGACUUCAUUGGAUUUGCCAAUGCUCAGCAAAGAACCGCUGCCAACGCCACCAAGAAGAGAGUCAUGCCCAAUCAGGUGAUCCGCAGAGGCUGGCUCACCAUCAACAUCAGUAUCAUGAAGGGAGGAUCCAAGGACUACUGGUUUGUCCUGACCGCUGAGUCUCUGUCCUGGUACAAAGAUGAGGAGGAGAAAGAGAAGAAGUACAUGCUGCCUCUCGAUAACCUGAAACUGAGAGAUGUGGAGAAGGGCUUCAUGUCCAGCAAGCACGUCUUUGCCAUCUUCAACACGGAGCAGAGGAAUGUGUAUAAAGACCUGCGUCAGAUUGAGCUGGCAUGUGACACUCAGGAGGAUGUAGACAGCUGGAAGGCUUCCUUCCUCAGAGCUGGUGUUUACCCAGAGAAAGACCAGGUUGAGAGCGAAGACGCGAUGAAUCCUAGCGACACCGUGUCCAUGGACCCACAGCUGGAGCGGCAGGUGGAGACCAUCCGCAACCUCGUGGACUCGUACAUCGGUAUCGUCAACAAGUCCAUCAGAGACCUCAUGCCCAAGACCAUCAUGCACCUCAUGAUCAACAGUGCGAAGGACUUCAUCCACUCUGAGCUGCUGGCCUACCUGUACUCGGCCGGGGACCAGGGCAGCUUGAUGGAGGAGUCAGCAGAGCAGGCACAGAGGAGAGAUGAGAUGCUGAGGAUGUAUCAUGCUUUGAAAGAGGCCCUGGUCCUCAUCGGAGACAUCAGCACCACCACUGUUUCCACCCCAGUGCCUCCACCAGUAGACGACACCUGGAUCAAGGAACCAAGUCCACCAACGUCCCGCCCUGCCUCGGCAACAGCGCCCCCUCCCAGCCGACCCCCGGCAGUGAGGGGGCCCACCCCGGGUCCUCCGCCCCCUCUCAACCCUUCACCAGCGUUCGGAGCGCCGCCGGUACCGUCUCGACCCCCGGGCCAAACAGCCUACGCAGGCGAUCCCAACUCUGGUUCUGUGCCUCUUGUUCCUUCCAGGCCGGCCCGCGUGCCUCCUGCACUGCCACCAGGGAUUCCAAGAAGACCCCCGGCUGCUCCCAACCGACCCACUGUCAUACGUCCAUCAGAGCCCUCCCUGCUUGACUAGAAACACACACAUACACAUACACAUAUUAAAACAUUACUUUUUGUUUACACUUUUAUAUUUCUCUUCUCUUUUCUCAUGUAUAUUCCUAUAACUGCAAACUUUGUCCUACUGUAAUUGGUAAUCUGAUGCUGUUUCAGUCUGUGCAUUUCAGAAGCAUUAUGUAUGUAAUUUUGACUUAAUGUGUAGUUAGUGUUAUUUUUUUAACAAAGAUAUGAGAGAUUUUCUGCAUUCUGUGUUAUGAAAAGGGAUAAAUUUGAUGAUUUUAUUGAUUUAAGGUUAUGAACCAGCAGGUCAUCUCGAAUAUUUUGAAAUGAAAUGUGUCUUAAAACAAUAUAUACGACUCUUAACGUUUAUAUAAUGGUAAGAAAACUCUUAGAUUUUGUUUUUUUGUGAGAUGAAUACUUGCUAACAUUUGUCCGUGAUCUUACACACUAAGCACCUCAUUAAGUAAGCAGCACUUUCUGAUUAAGUCUUUUUCUUUUCUUCAUUGGUAGAUUUUCAAAGCCUCCAGAUGAGCUUAUUAAAAUCAGACUGACCAAUGAAAUUUGUAUUCUUCAGUAUUUCGGCUAAUUACUUUUAUUACAAGAUUUUUCGAGCAUAAUACAGUUUCUGUGUUUCUUUAUUUGUGGACCAAUUAAAGCUGAGACAGAGGAGGAGGAAGGGUGUUGGAAGAAAGCGCAGCAGUGGGCGUGCGGCGUCUUCCAGUGUAUUACUGAUAAUUAUACAGUAGUUGAGGUGACCUUGCCCGGUGAAACGUCCUGACAGUUACCUCCCACCACUUCUCAUUCUUCAGUGCCUUGAGAAAAAAUUAUUUUGUAGUUACUUCUUAUCACCUUAAAAAAGUCGUAAUGAGAAAAAACGGAUCAUGAAAGGACAAAGGUGUAUAAAGUGAUGGACUGAAUAAAGGACUAGAAAACGAAGAUGUGCUGGCUGGUGCUUGUUUUUGCUGUUAGACAUUUUUUUGCCUCAUUUCUUGUCUUAACUGCACUACCGAGCCUUUCUUUGUCUGCUAUGUUGUUGUUUGAUCUGCCGUUUCCAUACACAUGACAGUAAACAUGUAGGACAUGUACUUCCUGUCACUGUAUGAUAGCGUCAGCGCACAGCUCACUGAGUAUUAUGUACACAACAGAGUUCGGGUCACCUCUUGACUCGCUCAGUAGUCAAAUGGAGACGGCCAUGCAGAACAAGAACAUUUCACUUUUCUGUGUGCAGUCUGGCAUGACCUCCCUUCCUUCCUACCUUGCUGUAUGAUGGAGCUGUGGGUUGCCGUAGCAACCGUGGUUGCCAGUAGCAACACAGUAAAGACAGUGUUACUCAAUGCUUUUUGGGCUGUUCAUAGAGUCAAGCAGGGAUGAAUAAAGGCGACCUCCGCAUGUCCCCUCUCGUCCCAACCACUGGUGACGGAAAGUCAAAUGUGGAGCACUCCAACUUGUAGCCACGCGACGGGCUCAGUCAGCAUGAGCUGGAAGAGUCCGGCUUUAUGUCCUGAUUCUGAAACUGUUGUUUUUUAUAAGACAUUGUAGGAUGCAGAGUAACGACAAAGGCUGUGGCUGGAUCAAAGCUGACAUCCUGCUUCGGUCCACAACCUAAGAAUGAUCCUACUGCAAAUAAAUAAAUAGUGAUAACCUCUGUACAUACAGGAAUGUUAUUGAGCUUAUAUGGUGUUUCCAAUAUUAAAUAUAUACUAUAGAGAAAUGAUAAUCUGUUUUUCUCUGCAUGUAAGUACUACUGAAAUACUUUAUCUCAUGAUGUUUUUUCAGUUGAAAUGUGUGCCAAAUUUUAGGAUGGAUGGGUCAACUAGGAUAUGGGAGAAAAACCUGUGUGUGCCAAAUUGAAACAUCAAGAAAUUUUAUCUUGAAGCAAACUUGGCAGAAAGCACAGCACAUGCAGUAUGUUGUUAUUUCUUCCUUCAUGACUAAAGAAUAAAGUAAUUUACAAUCCUCAU
RNA transcript from Epinephelus fuscoguttatus (brown-marbled grouper), 4836 nucleotides. It is a transcript of the gene named dynamin-2-like, with no coding region annotated. The transcript is spliced from 21 exons. The record is from RefSeq and is a predicted model, not a curated record. Lineage: Eukaryota; Metazoa; Chordata; Actinopteri; Perciformes; Serranidae.